RNAcentral lists this ribosomal RNA (455 nucleotides) under uncultured bacterium. RNAcentral describes it as "bacterial SSU rRNA". It matches the Rfam family "Bacterial small subunit ribosomal RNA", at positions 340 to 786 of the family's 1533-position model. The record is from RNAcentral.
UACGGAAGGCAGCAGUGGGGAAUAUUGCACAAUGGGCGCAAGCCUGAUGCAGCCAUGCCGCGUGUAUGAAAAAGGCCUUCGGGUUGUAAAGUACUUUCAGUCGUGAGGAAGGUGUUAAGGUUAAUAACCUUAGCAAUUGACGUUAGCGACAGAAGAAGCACCGGCUAACUCCGUGCCAGCAGCCGCGGUAAUACGGAGGGUGCGAGCGUUAAUCGGAAUUACUGGGCGUAAAGGGCACGCAGGCGGUUAAUUAAGUUGGAUGUGAAAUCCCCCGGGCUUAACCUGGGAAUGGCAUUCAAGACUGGUUAGCUAGAGUCUUGUAGAGGGGGUAGAAUUCCAUGUGUAGCGGUGAAAUGCGUAGAGAUGUGGAGGAAUACCGGUGGCGAAAGGCGGCCCCUGGACAAAGACUGACGCUCAUGUGCGAAAGCGUGGGGAGCAAACAGGGAUUAGAUACC